UACGGAGGGUGCAAGCGUUGUCCGGAAUUAUUGGGCGUAAAGAGCUCGUAGGCGGUCUGUCGCGUCUGCUGUGAAAACUCAGGGCUUAACCCUGAGCUUGCAGUGGGUACGGGCAGACUAGAGUGCGGUAGGGGAGACUGGAAUUCCUGGUGUAGCGGUGAAAUGCGCAGAUAUCAGGAGGAACACCGGUGGCGAAGGCGGGUCUCUGGGCCGUAACUGACGCUGAGGAGCGAAAGCGUGGGGAGCAAACAGG
RNAcentral lists this ribosomal RNA (253 nucleotides) under uncultured bacterium. RNAcentral describes it as "partial 16S ribosomal RNA". It matches the Rfam family "Bacterial small subunit ribosomal RNA", at positions 524 to 776 of the family's 1533-position model. The record is from RNAcentral.